This 400-nucleotide ribosomal RNA is filed under the name uncultured Tulasnellaceae. RNAcentral's name for it is "eukaryotic LSU rRNA". Lineage: Eukaryota; Fungi; Basidiomycota; Agaricomycetes; Cantharellales; Tulasnellaceae. The record is from RNAcentral.
CGCACCUUGCACCUUCCAGUCCUCUGGUAAGGUAUGCCCGGUUGAGUAUUAUGAUCUACCUCAAACCUAUGAUUUUCUUAUUGCAAAGACCAAUCGCUCCGAUGAAAGCACUCUUUGGGGUGACUAGUAGUUGCUGCUUGGUUUGGAACGAUCUUAGAUCUUGGACUUUGAGCACUGUUGGUUCCCCUCUGGAUCAACUUGCUUGAAAUGUAUUUAGCUGGCAACCUGCCUUCAAUGGUUACCACUCGGCGUAGUAAGUCUUAUUCGUCGAGGACACCUUGUACCUUCACCGGAACAGGUGGCCAUUGUGCGUGUGUCCUGAUAGCCGCUUCUAAUCGUCUCUGGACAACAUAACGAACUCUUUAAUCUCAACUCGGGUAGGACUACCCGCUGAACUUAA